GAACUUAUAUCAUAUGAUAUCAGUUUUUGGUAAGUUUUACGGUCUCACGUGAUUCGCUCAUAUGAUCUUGAAAGCUUAGCACAUCUCCAGCUGAUGAACAGCUCCUCAUUCAACUCCCAACUGGGAUUCAGUUAUUUUAUUUCUUGAGUCUCCACAUAGUUCGUUUAUUGAUCUUUCAAAAAAUGGCUUGGUUCUUAGAGAUGGAACACAGAGAAGGGUUUCAAUUCCUCAGCCCGCACAAAUCUCUUGAAUGAUAAACAAACCCUUGUUUUCACCCUUUCUUGGUUUUUUGACCCCCUGAAAGUGCUAUAUUUAUUUAUUUAUUUAUGCCGGGUGAUAAUUAGGGUUUAUUGAUCAUCCAAUUAUUAUCCUGUUUCACCCGAGAAGGGUUUCAAUUCCUCAGCCCGCAUGAAUCUUUUGAAUGAUAAACAAACCCUUGUUUUCAUCGUCUCUUGGUUUUUAGACCCCUGAAAGUGGUAAAUUUAUUUAUUUAUUUAUGCCGGGUGAAAAUUAGGGCUUGUUGAUCAUCCAAUUAUUAUCCUGUUUCACCCAGAUAAGAGUUUCAAUUCCUCAUCCCGCAGAAAUCUCUUGAAUGACAGAAAAAUCCUUGUUUUCAUCGUCUCUUGGUUUUUAGACCCCUGAAAGUGCUCUAUUUAUUUAUUUAUUUAUUUAUGCCGGGUGAAAAUUAGGGUUUGUUGAUCAUCCCAUUAUUAUCCUGUUUCACCCAGAGAAGGGUUUCAAUUCCUCAUCCCGCACAAAUCUCUUGGAUGCCAGAGAGACUCUUUUUUACCCGCUCUUGUUUUUUGGACUCCCC
This 814-nucleotide long non-coding RNA is filed under the name Spirodela polyrhiza (greater duckweed). RNAcentral describes it as "long non-coding RNA (SPOL_LNC002635)". Lineage: Eukaryota; Viridiplantae; Streptophyta; Magnoliopsida; Alismatales; Araceae. The record is from RNAcentral.